RNAcentral lists this ribosomal RNA (486 nucleotides) under uncultured bacterium. Its description in RNAcentral is "partial 16S ribosomal RNA". It matches the Rfam family "Bacterial small subunit ribosomal RNA", at positions 28 to 507 of the family's 1533-position model. The record is from RNAcentral.
GAUGAACGCUGGCGGCGUGCCUAAUACAUGCAAGUCGAACGCUGGAAAUCUAGCUUGCUAGAUUGAAGGAGUGGCGAACGGGUGAGUAAAACAUAAGCAACCUACCCACGAAGACUGGGAUAAUCUCUGGAAACGGGGACUAAUACCGGAUAGGUAAUCGGAAGGCAUCUUCUGAUUAUUAAAGGUUAAAAACACUGGUGGAUGGGCUUAUGGCGCAUUAGUUAGUUGGUGAGGUAACGGCCCACCAAGACGAUGAUGCGUAGCCGGCCUGAGAGGGUGAACGGCCACAUUGGGACUGAGACACGGCCCAGACUCCUACGGGAGGCAGCAGUAGGGAAUUUUCGGCAAUGGGGGAAACCCUGACCGAGCAACGCCGCGUGAGUGAUGACGGCCUUCGGGUUGUAAAGCUCUGUUGUAAGGGAAGAACGGUAGAUAGAGAAUAUCUAAAUGACGGUACCUUACCAGAAAGCCACGGCUAACUACGUG